RNAcentral lists this ribosomal RNA (403 nucleotides) under uncultured bacterium. RNAcentral describes it as "bacterial SSU rRNA". It matches the Rfam family "Bacterial small subunit ribosomal RNA", at positions 356 to 774 of the family's 1533-position model. The record is from RNAcentral.
GGGGAAUAUUGCACAAUGGGCGAAAGCCUGAUGCAGCAACGCCGCGUGAGCGAUGAAGGCCUUUGGGUCGUAAAGCUCUGUCCUUGGGGAAGAAAAAAAUGACGGUACCCUUGGAGGAAGCCCCGGCUAACUACGUGCCAGCAGCCGCGGUAAUACGUAGGGGGCAAGCGUUAUCCGGAAUUAUUGGGCGUAAAGAGUGCGUAGGUGGUUUUGUAAGCGCGGGGUGAAAGGCAAUGGCUCAACUAUUGUAAGCCCUGCGAACUGUGAGACUUGAGUGCAGGAGAGGAAGGCGGAAUUCCUAGUGUAGCGGUGAAAUGCGUAGAUAUUAGGAGGAACACCAGUGGCGAAGGCGGCUUUCUGGACUGUAACUGACACUGAGGCACGAAAGCGUGGGGAGCAAACA